This 503-nucleotide long non-coding RNA is filed under the name Brassica napus (rape). RNAcentral's name for it is "long non-coding RNA (BNAP_LNC009483)". The record is from RNAcentral. Lineage: Eukaryota; Viridiplantae; Streptophyta; Magnoliopsida; Brassicales; Brassicaceae.
UUGUUGGUGAAGCCAUCAUGGGUAACACGUCUAUCAAAUUGCCAUGGCCUCCCAAGCAAGAUGUGGCUCGCUUCCAUUGGUAACACAUCACAGAGAAUCUCGUCCUCAUAUCUCCCAAUAGAAAUAGGUAUCAAGACUUGAGUAGAUACCUUCAUCUCGCCUUCUUCAGUAAGCUAUUGCAACCGAUAUGGCCUUGGGUGUUUCUGCACUUUCAAUCCUAGCUUCUUCACCAUUGUCUCACUAGCAACAUUUACACAGCUUUCCUUGAACAAGACACCUUGUAUAGAACAAAUUCUCACGCUCCUCGAGCUCUUCGGUCUUGGAUUGUAGAUUCAGAAGUCAUCUUGCCACCAACAGCCUCCCUUUUACCGGUUCUUAUUCACAUUCUCCUUCAGAUUCCUCAUGAUCAGUUCCAGAUACAUAAUCCUCAGAUUCAUAUUCUCCAUUCUCAAGAACGAUCAUGAUUCUCUUGUUAGUACACUCAUUCGCAUAAUGCCCUCGCC